RNAcentral lists this ribosomal RNA (468 nucleotides) under uncultured bacterium. RNAcentral's name for it is "partial 16S ribosomal RNA". It matches the Rfam family "Bacterial small subunit ribosomal RNA", at positions 28 to 507 of the family's 1533-position model. The record is from RNAcentral.
GACGAACGCUGGCGGCGUGCUUAACACAUGCAAGUCGAACGGAAAGGCCCUGCUUUUGUGGGGUGCUCGAGUGGCGAACGGGUGAGUAACACGUGAGUAACCUGCCCUUGACUUUGGGAUAACUUCAGGAAACUGGGGCUAAUACCGGAUAGGAGCUCCUGCUGCAUGGUGGGGGUUGGAAAGUUUCGGCGGUUGGGGAUGGACUCGCGGCUUAUCAGCUUGUUGGUGGGGUAGUGGCUUACCAAGGCUUUGACGGGUAGCCGGCCUGAGAGGGUGACCGGCGUCAUUGGGCCUAAGGUACGCACCAGACUGCAACGGGAGGCAGAGGUGGGGAAUAUUGCACAAUGGGCGGAAGCCUGAUGCAGCGGCGCCGCGUGCGGGAUGACGGCCUUCGGGUUGUAAACCGCUUUCGCCUGAGACGAAGCGUGAGUGACGGUAAUGGGUAAAGAAGCACCGGCUAACUACGUG